Molecule: long non-coding RNA, 251 nt
Filed under: Bos taurus (domestic cattle)
Lineage: Eukaryota; Metazoa; Chordata; Mammalia; Artiodactyla; Bovidae
Description: long non-coding RNA NONBTAT025037
Source: RNAcentral
GACACUCUAGAGGACACACAUUGUGGCAGAUAAAACUAUAGAUCUCGAAUAUGGACAUUGUGUUUCAGAUUUAGAUUUGACAUAAGCUAGCAGUUUCCAUGAGUUAAUUCUCUUGGAUUUGUUUUCACACCAGUAACAUACAGGGCUCAACUAAUGUAAUUCUAAGAUAUUUUCCAAUAAUAGAUAGUUUUAAAGUCCCCCAAGGAUCCUAAGCUUAUAUUGUAUUAAUCUUUCAUGUUUUAAAUUUUAUC